GAAAGGGAGCUUGCUCCCUGGAUUAGUGGCGAACGGGUGAGUAACACGUGAGUAACCUGCCCUUGACUCUGGGAUAAGCACUGGAAACGGUGUCUAAUACCGGAUACGAACUUCAGCCGCAUGGCUAGGAGUUGGAAAGAAUUUCGGUCAAGGAUGGACUCGCGGCCUAUCAGCUAGUUGGUGAGGUAAUGGCCCACCAAGGCGACGACGGGUAGCCGGCCUGAGAGGGUGACCGGCCACACUGGGACUGAGACACGGCCCAGACUCCUACGGGAGGCAGCAGUGGGGAAUAUUGCACAAUGGGCGCAAGCCUGAUGCAGCAACGCCGCGUGAGGGACGACGGCCUUCGGGUUGUAAACCUCUUUUAGUAGGGAAGAAGCGAAGUGUUUUACAUGGAGUGACGGUACCUGCAGAAAAAGCACCGGCUAACUACGUGCCAGCAGCCGCGGUAAUACGUAGGGUGCAAGCGUUAUCCGGAAUUAUUGGGCGUAAAGAGCUCGUAGGCGGUUUGUCGCGUCUGCUGUGAAAACUGGGGGCUCAACCCCCAGCCUGCAGUGGGUACGGGCAGACUAGAGUGCGGUAGGGGAGAUUGGAAUUCCUGGUGUAGCGGUGGAAUGCGCAGAUAUCAGGAGGAACACCAAUGGCGAAGGCAGAUCUCUGGGCCGUAACUGACGCUGAGGAGCGAAAGCAU
Molecule: ribosomal RNA, 691 nt
Filed under: Frigoribacterium sp.
Lineage: Bacteria; Bacillati; Actinomycetota; Actinomycetes; Micrococcales; Microbacteriaceae
Description: bacterial SSU rRNA
Rfam family: Bacterial small subunit ribosomal RNA
Source: RNAcentral